GCUCAGCUAUAAACUUAGGCGUUAUUUUACAAUAAACGCCCGCCAGGGUACUACGAGCAUUAGCUUAAAACCCAAAGGACUUGGCGGUGCCUUAGACCCCCCUAGAGGAGCCUGUUCUAGAACCGAUAACCCCCGUUAAACCUCACCACUUCUGGCCAUCCCCGCCUAUAUACCGCCGUCGUCAGCUUACCCUGUGAAGGAUAAAUAGUAAGCAAAGUGAAUAUAAUUCAAAACGUCAGGUCGAGGUGUAGCGAACGAAGUGGGAAGAAAUGGGCUACAUUUUCUUUAAUAAGAAUAUUACGGACAACACUAUGAAAACUUAGUGCUCGAAGGAGGAUUUAGUAGUAAAAAGGAAAUAGAGUGUCCUUUUGAACCCGGCUCUGAGGCGCGU
This 391-nucleotide ribosomal RNA is filed under the name Misgurnus anguillicaudatus (oriental weatherfish). RNAcentral describes it as "partial 12S ribosomal RNA". It matches the Rfam family "Bacterial small subunit ribosomal RNA", at positions 794 to 1384 of the family's 1533-position model. The record is from RNAcentral. Lineage: Eukaryota; Metazoa; Chordata; Actinopteri; Cypriniformes; Cobitidae.